AGUGAACGCUGGCGGUAGGCCUAACACAUGCAAGUCGAACGGCAGCACAGUAAGAGCUUGCUCUUACGGGUGGCGAGUGGCGGACGGGUGAGGAAUACAUCGGAAUCUACUUUUUCGUGGGGGAUAACGUAGGGAAACUUACGCUAAUACCGCAUACGACCUACGGGUGAAAGCAGGGGAUCUUCGGACCUUGCGCGAUUGAAUGAGCCGAUGUCGGAUUAGCUAGUUGGCGGGGUAAAGGCCCACCAAGGCGACGAUCCGUAGCUGGUCUGAGAGGAUGACCAACAAGAUGAGAAGGGAGACAGGGACAGUAAUCCGGCGGGGGGCGACAGUGGGGAAUAUGGGACAAGGGGCGCAAGUGUGACCCAGCCAUACCGCGGGGGUGAAGAAGUCCUGGGGGUUGUAAAUCCUUUUUGUGGGGAAAAAAAAGAAGCAGUUUAAUACCCCGCUGUUCGGAGGUUACCAAAAAAAAAGGCCCGGGCAAGCUUGGUG
Molecule: ribosomal RNA, 492 nt
Filed under: uncultured bacterium
Lineage: Bacteria
Description: partial 16S ribosomal RNA
Rfam family: Bacterial small subunit ribosomal RNA
Source: RNAcentral